AAGAAGGGGUAUAAAUUGUUGCACGCGCAGAAUGAUAUUACAGAUUUAUGGCCGUGGAAACUAAUCUGGAAAACAAAGUUACCACCAAAGAUAAUAUGCCUCAGCUGGUUGGCAUUAAAGAUUGCUUGUUUGACAGUGGACAAUCUUUGUAGAAGAAACUUCCAGCUGGUCAGCAGGUGUUAUUUGUGUCAGGAAAGUGCAGAAUCAGUAAAUCAUCUUUUCUUGCAUUGUGCGG
This 235-nucleotide unclassified non-coding RNA is filed under the name Hevea brasiliensis (rubber tree). Lineage: Eukaryota; Viridiplantae; Streptophyta; Magnoliopsida; Malpighiales; Euphorbiaceae. The record is from RNAcentral.